GCUCUUGGCUUCUCAAACACUCACUUCCCUUAACUUCUGAAUAGAAAAAUUAAGGAGAAUUAAGGGUGAUUCAACAAUGGUGCUCUCAGCCAUUCUAAGUUGUUGUCUGCCAUCAUCAUCGUCGACUCUGCCUCGGGUGUCCGAUGAUGGUGGUGGGUCAAGAUGUGACAUUAGGCAAUCUUACCUUGCAAGAUUGUGGUUAGAUUGUAGAAUAAGCUAGCUAAUUUACUAUUUAUCAAACACUUUUUUCCCUAUAAAUUGAACUUUUUAAGUUAACUUAAGCCCCAUCUAAAGUUAUUAUAGCUACUAAUUAGCAAUCACAUCUCCCUUUCUAAUGGGAUUCUUAUCAACCAUUUUCAGGUGUUUGAUGUCUUGUUUUUCAAGCAAUGAAGCAAGAAAAUCUCCAGAGAAGCCUAAGAGAAAAUCAAAGUCAUCUAGGGCUCCCAUUGUGGUCUCUUCCUUCCCUGUCAACUCAAAUCUUUCUUGCUUAUAGCAUGCUGAAAUUUGAAAUGUAGUUGGUUCAAUCAUGGUAUGGACUGAUCUAUAAUUAAUGGCAAUGAAGCCAUGGUAUUGAUAGUUGCCUUUGCAAAUGAGCUUAAUGUUCUUAUAUAUCUUGGUGAGUAUAAUUCUAACUAUUUGAUCUGUCUUUUGAAUAUGAUUUAUGGUAUUUUACCCUACUGCAUGCCUUUGCUUUGGUUACCUCCUUGUGUGAACUGCCCAAUGGUCAUAAAGAUUAAUGAGUUUAAGCCUUGUUACGUUUACCCAUGCACAAAUUUGUAAUGUCAUUCACUUUGAAUUAAUUUCUUGGUGUAGACGUAUGAAACAAAAACUCUUUAUAUGAUACAAAAUUAUAGCUCUUAUCAUUUUUAAGACACGAUGAUGGAGGACGACAUCAUUCACUGCUUGAAGACCAAGCAAAACUUGGGGAAUACUCCUAGAAUUAUCAGGCGCCACACAAGUCAAAAAGUUAUGAAGGAAUAUUGAAAAUGGCUUCCUCAAUCUAGAGUCAAAGCAGCCACUAGUGUAGGAAACAGGAAGGAAUUUACCAUCUAAACAAUAUCACAAGCUGGGAAGAUGGGCACAUACCAUCUGGCUUUCCUUGCUAUGCAAGAAAAUGAGCCCAACUUCCAUUUCAAAUUAAACUUCCACUAUAAAUAUGUAGAAUCGUCUUCAUUCAAAGCUCAUUAAUACAAACUCACACUUCAGCUCUUGGCCUCUCAAACCACUUUGUUUAAUUUCUGAAAGCAGAAGGAGAAGGGUGAUUGAUCAACAAUGGUGUUCUCAGCCAUCAUAAGUUGUUUUCUGCCAUCAUCAUCGUCAUCUCGGGUGUCUGAUGAUGCUGGUGGGUCAGGCUCAAAGGUGCCUUCCAUGGGGAAAGACAAGAUGAGCAAAUCAAAUUCUUCAGGAGCUCCAAUAGUUCUUUCUUACUUUCCAUUGAACUCCUAUCUCUCUCGCUUGUAGUUGUACUACUAAUUGCAUUCUGAGGAAAGGGGAGUUGAAUUUGCAGAAGGUAUCAAUGGUUAAUUUCUUCAGCUCAAUGAUGUUAUGUGGAUCAGUUAAUUAAUGGGGCUUCUUGAUCAGUCAGUUCAGAGACCACACACCAUGGGGCAGUUGCUUAUGGGGUGGUGAUGUUGAAGGAAGAACAGCACUCAUGUACAUAUAGUUUGAUGAUUGAUUUGUAGUUUGAUUGAAGCAUAUCAUGUAAGAUCAUGGGUCCUUUAUUUUUAUUAGUAAUAUCCUGAUGAAUAAAAUUCAAGUGUAAUCCAAUUGUUUGAUUUGUGUUUUGGUAAGAGUUCUUAUUUCAUGUUAAUCCAUAUCCAAAUUCUUGUGCUUAA
RNAcentral lists this long non-coding RNA (1835 nucleotides) under Vitis vinifera (wine grape). RNAcentral's name for it is "long non-coding RNA (VVIN_LNC004391)". Lineage: Eukaryota; Viridiplantae; Streptophyta; Magnoliopsida; Vitales; Vitaceae. The record is from RNAcentral.